RNAcentral lists this ribosomal RNA (490 nucleotides) under Shewanella sp. B0P1-5. RNAcentral's name for it is "bacterial SSU rRNA". It matches the Rfam family "Bacterial small subunit ribosomal RNA", at positions 355 to 837 of the family's 1533-position model. Lineage: Bacteria; Pseudomonadati; Pseudomonadota; Gammaproteobacteria; Alteromonadales; Shewanellaceae. The record is from RNAcentral.
UGGGGAAUAUUGCACAAUGGGGGAAACCCUGAUGCAGCCAUGCCGCGUGUGUGAAGAAGGCCUUCGGGUUGUAAAGCACUUUCAGUAGGGAGGAAAGGUUGACGGUUAAUACCCGUUAGCUGUGACGUUACCUACAGAAGAAGGACCGGCUAACUCCGUGCCAGCAGCCGCGGUAAUACGGAGGGUCCGAGCGUUAAUCGGAAUUACUGGGCGUAAAGCGUGCGCAGGCGGUUUGUUAAGCGAGAUGUGAAAGCCCCGGGCUCAACCUGGGAAUUGCAUUUUGAACUGGCAAACUAGAGUCUUGUAGAGGGGGGUAGAAUUUCAGGUGUAGCGGUGAAAUGCGUAGAGAUCUGAAGGAAUACCGGUGGCGAAGGCGGCCCCCUGGACAAAGACUGACGCUCAUGCACGAAAGCGUGGGGAGCAAACAGGAUUAGAUACCCUGGUAGUCCACGCCGUAAACGAUGUCUACUCGGAGUUUGGUGUCUUGAAC